This 488-nucleotide ribosomal RNA is filed under the name uncultured Lysobacterales bacterium. RNAcentral describes it as "bacterial SSU rRNA". It matches the Rfam family "Bacterial small subunit ribosomal RNA", at positions 384 to 863 of the family's 1533-position model. The record is from RNAcentral. Lineage: Bacteria; Pseudomonadati; Pseudomonadota; Gammaproteobacteria; Lysobacterales.
UGAUCCAGCAAUGCCGCGUGUGUGAAGAAGGCCCUCGGGUUGUAAAGCACUUUUAUCAGGAACGAAAUACCACGGGUUAAUACCCUAUGGGGCUGACGGUACCUGAGGAAUAAGCACCGGCUAACUUCGUGCCAGCAGCCGCGGUAAUACGAAGGGUGCAAGCGUUAAUCGGAAUUACUGGGCGUAAAGGGUGCGUAGGCGGUUCGUUAAGUCUGUCGUGAAAUCCCCGGGCUCAACCUGGGAAUGGCGAUGGAUACUGGCGAGCUAGAGUGUGUCAGAGGAUGGUGGAAUUCCCGGUGUAGCGGUGAAAUGCGUAGAGAUCGGGAGGAACAUCAGUGGCGAAGGCGGCCAUCUGGGACAACACUGACGCUGAAGCACGAAAGCGUGGGGAGCAAACAGGAUUAGAUACCCUGGUAGUCCACGCCCUAAACGAUGCGAACUGGAUGUUGGUCUCAACUCGGAGAUCAGUGUCGAAGCUAACGCGUUAA